AGGGCGAUAGUUGCAUGACGUAGACCCGAAACCGGGUGACCUAUCCAUGAGCAGGUUGAAGUGGAGGUAAAGCUCCAUGGAGGACCGAACCAGACGUCUGUUGAAAAAGGCGGGGAUGACUUGUGGAUAGGGGAGAAAUUCCAAUCGAACCCGGAGAUAGCUGGUUCUCCUCGAAAUAGCUUUAGGGCUAGCCUCAUGGAUCAUUGGUGGGGGUAGAGCACUGAAUGUGCGCGGGGGCCACAAAGCCUACCAAACGCUAUCAAACUACGAAUACCAUACAAUGCAGACCAUGGGAGUCAGUCCGCGAGAGAUAAGUUCCGCGGGCAAAAGGGGAACACCCCAGAUCAACCGCUAAGGUCCCCAAGUUCACGUUAAGUGGAGAAGGAUGUGGAAUUGCACAGACAACCAGGAUGUUGGCUCAGAAGCAGCCACACAUUUAAAGAGUGCGUAAUAGCUCACUGGUCGAGUGAUUGUGCGCCGAAGAUGUCCGGGGCUAAACGUGACACCGAAGCGAUGGGUGCAUCUGAAGAAGAUGCGCGGUAGAGGAGCAAUGUGCAGAGGCAGAAGCCGUAUCGAGAGGCACGGUGGACACUGCACAAGAGAGAAUGCCGGUAUGAGUAGCGAGAGGCAUGCGAGAAACAUGCCCGUCGAAAGCCCAAGGUUUCCUGGGGAAGGUUCAUCCGCCCAGGGUAAGUCGGGGCCUAAGCCGAGGACGGAAGUCGUAGGCGAUGGACAGCAGGUGUAGAUUCCUGCACUACCGAUGGAAUGAAGCAGUGACACAGAAGGAUAACUCGAGCAGGGUGAUGGUCAACCCUGUGCAAGCAUCAAGGUUGGGUUGUAGUGAAGUACGCAACCCUAUAAGCUGAGAUGUGAUGCGGACCGAAAUUUCAGUAGGGAAGCGAGUGAGUUCACGCUGGCGAGAAAAGCUGCUAGUACAUCCAAAGGUACCCGUACCGGAAACCGACGCAGGUGGGCGAGGAGAGAAUCCUGAGACGAACGGGAGAACCCUUGUUAAGGAACUCGGCAAAAUGACCCCGUAACUUCGGGAUAAGGGGUGCCUGCGAGAGCAGGCCGCAGAGAAUAGUCACAAGCGACUGUUUAGCAAAAACACAGGUAUCUGCGAAAGCGAGAGCUGACGUAUAGGUGCUGACACCUGCCCGGUGCUGGAAGGUUAAGGGAACAUGUUAGAGCAAUCGAAGCAUCGAACCGAAGCCCCAGUAAACGGCGGCCGUAACUAUAACGGUCCUAAGGUAGCGAAAUUCCUUGUCGGGUAAGUUCCGACCCGCACGAAUGGUGUAACGA
This 1302-nucleotide ribosomal RNA is filed under the name human gut metagenome. Its description in RNAcentral is "bacterial LSU rRNA". It matches the Rfam family "Bacterial large subunit ribosomal RNA", at positions 689 to 2007 of the family's 2925-position model. The record is from RNAcentral.